GUGAAUGAAAUCACAAAACUUAAUACCCCUUUGUUUGACCGUGAAAAAUUUCUCCCAUCCCCUUUGUUGUCUUGACAAUAAACGACAAAAUGGGUUUCAGAUGAAUAUCUGAAACCCAUUU
This 121-nucleotide small RNA is filed under the name Parageobacillus caldoxylosilyticus. RNAcentral's name for it is "Saccharococcus caldoxylosilyticus RNA E". It matches the Rfam family "RNA Staph. aureus E (RoxS)". From Rfam's summary of the family: It was shown to be regulated by the presence of nitric oxide (NO). In Bacillus subtilis it controls expression of genes with functions related to oxidative stress and oxidation-reduction reactions and it was renamed RoxS (for related to oxidative stress). Lineage: Bacteria; Bacillati; Bacillota; Bacilli; Caryophanales; Anoxybacillaceae. The record is from RNAcentral.